GCAAACAGGAUUAGAUACCCUGGUAGUCCACGCCCUAAACGAUGUCUACUAGUUGUCGGGUCUUAAUUGACUUGGUAACGCAGCUAACGCGUGAAGUAGACCGCCUGGGGAGUACGGUCGCAAGAUUAAAACUCAAAGGAAUUGACGGGGACCCGCACAAGCGGUGGAUGAUGUGGAUUAAUUCGAUGCAACGCGAAAAACCUUACCUACCCUUGACAUGUACAGAAUCCCGAAGAGAUUUGGGAGUGUUCGAAAGAAAACUGUAACACAGGUGCUGCAUGGCUGUCGUCAGCUCGUGUCGUGAGAUGUUGGGUUAAGUCCCGCAACGAGCGCAACCCUUGUCAUUAGUUGCUACGAAAGGGCACUCUAAUGAGACUGCCGGUGACAAACCGGAGGAAGGUGGGGAUGACGUCAAGUCCUCAUGGCCCUUAUGGGUAGGGCUUCACACGUCAUACAAUGGUACAUACAGAGGGCCGCCAACCCGCGAGGGGGAGCUAAUCCCAGAAAGUGUAUCGUAGUCCGGAUUGUAGUCUGCAACUCGACUACAUGAAGUUGGAAUCGCUAGUAAUCGCGGAUCAGCAUGUCGCGGUGAAUACGUUCCCGGGUCUUGUACACACCGCCCGUCACACCAUGGGAGCGGGUUUUACCAGA
Molecule: ribosomal RNA, 651 nt
Filed under: Collimonas fungivorans
Lineage: Bacteria; Pseudomonadati; Pseudomonadota; Betaproteobacteria; Burkholderiales; Oxalobacteraceae
Description: bacterial SSU rRNA
Rfam family: Bacterial small subunit ribosomal RNA
Source: RNAcentral